CAGGACACAUGAACAUCGACAUUUUGAACGCAUAUUGCGGUCCAUACUGAUAAGUUUCUUAAUUGAAGCUGUAUGGACCACAUAUGGCUGAGGGUUGUUAGUUUACGCUAACUGAAUUGCUUUUAAUUAAGCUACAUAAUGAGGUGUUGUUAUCCUUAAGUGUGUUAACAUCCCUUGAAAAUACCUAUGGUACACAAUUUUAUAAAAUUGUGAAUGCUUGUUUUACACAUAUCAAAGAAAACAAAUAUAUUAUUAUGCUAUAUUGGUCUUUUUAGUAUAUUACUUUAGUCUUUGAAACUAGUAAACUUUGAUUAAGCGUUUAAACAUAAUAGUUUACGCAUUUGAAUGCUAACCUGAACGUUUCAAUUUAAAUUACUAAUACUAAUAAAACGAAAGGCCUUCAAGUAUACGUCAUUUAUAAUAUAUUUAUACAUAUUAAUUUAAUUUUCUUGAUAUAUAAAAAACGGUUUCCAAUCAGGCUGGAAUGCGUUCACAUACAAAAAUUUUAUGAAAUUUGAAUAAAACUUAUCAAAGCAACCUCAG
RNAcentral lists this ribosomal RNA (543 nucleotides) under Syndocosia pan. RNAcentral describes it as "eukaryotic LSU rRNA". The record is from RNAcentral. Lineage: Eukaryota; Metazoa; Arthropoda; Insecta; Diptera; Mycetophilidae.